CAGCAGUAGCCGCGGUAAUACAGAGGGUGCGAGCGUUAAUCGGAUUUACUGGGCGUAAAGCGUGCGUAGGCGGCUUUUUAAGUCGGAUGUGAAAUCCCUGAGCUUAACUUAGGAAUUGCAUUCGAUACUGGGAAGCUAGAGUAUGGGAGAGGAUGGUAGAAUUCCAGGUGUAGCGGUGAAAUGCGUAGAGAUCUGGAGGAAUACCGAUGGCGAAGGCAGCCAUCUGGCCUAAUACUGACGCUGAGGUACGAAAGCAUGGGGAGCAAACAGGAUUAGAUACCCGCGUAGUCCCUGUCUCUUAUAA
This 304-nucleotide ribosomal RNA is filed under the name uncultured bacterium. RNAcentral's name for it is "partial 16S ribosomal RNA". It matches the Rfam family "Bacterial small subunit ribosomal RNA", at positions 506 to 809 of the family's 1533-position model. The record is from RNAcentral.